GCGGGUGAAGAGUUUGUGGGCCUUCAAGGCGUUGUUGACGUGGUGAACGAUCGCCACGUUCUCGAUGUCGUAGAGCGAU
Molecule: small RNA, 79 nt
Filed under: Sinorhizobium meliloti 2011
Lineage: Bacteria; Pseudomonadati; Pseudomonadota; Alphaproteobacteria; Hyphomicrobiales; Rhizobiaceae
Description: putative ncRNA
Source: RNAcentral